Molecule: long non-coding RNA, 589 nt
Filed under: Musa acuminata (dwarf banana)
Lineage: Eukaryota; Viridiplantae; Streptophyta; Magnoliopsida; Zingiberales; Musaceae
Description: long non-coding RNA (MACU_LNC007167)
Source: RNAcentral
UUUGGUAUCAGAGCCGACCUAACAUUUGGGCAUGGUGAGGGGGCUCGAGUAGGAAAGGGCUACCCGUAGACGGAGUCAGAGGACUCGUCACGGCGUGGAGCCACCACUGGGCUACGCCUCACAUGCACUAUGCUAGGGUUUGAUCUGGGUUAUGUUGGGUCUUGACGAGGACGUCAAGCCUUUGAGUGGGGGUGAUUGUAACAUCCUUGAUUAGUCCCACAUCGAAAGUGGGCAAGAUUAAGAUUGGCUUAUAAGGGUCUGAUGAGUGUACUACUAUCAACUUCAGCUUAAGCAUUUUGGUCAGUGGUUUAGACCAAACGAAGUUGAUAGGCCAGUUAGCCUAUCAGGCCCGAGUCAUAAUAUUUGGUAUCAAAGCCAACCUAGCAUUUGUGUAUGGUGAGGGGGCUCGAGUAGGAAAGGACUACCCGUAGACGGAGUCAGAGGACUCGUCACGGCGUGGAGCCACCACUAGGCUACGCCUCACAUGCACUAUGCUAGGGUUUGAUCUGGGUUAUGUUAGGGCUUGACGAGAACGUCAAGCCUUUGAGUGGGGGUGAUUGUAACACCCCUGAUUAAUCCCACAUUGAAA